Sarcophilus harrisii (Tasmanian devil) is the source of this 105-nucleotide small nuclear RNA. The record is from Ensembl. Lineage: Eukaryota; Metazoa; Chordata; Mammalia; Dasyuromorphia; Dasyuridae.
GCUUGCUUCUGCAGUCUUUCUACUACAAUUGAAACAAUAUUGGGAAGAUUAGCAUAGUUCCUGCAUAAAAUUGGUAUGCAAAUUAAUGAAGAGAUCCACAUUUUU